RNAcentral lists this long non-coding RNA (293 nucleotides) under Malus domestica (apple). RNAcentral's name for it is "long non-coding RNA (MDOM_LNC017523)". The record is from RNAcentral. Lineage: Eukaryota; Viridiplantae; Streptophyta; Magnoliopsida; Rosales; Rosaceae.
UACAACUUAAGUCAAUGGGCUUGACGUUCGAAGCCCAUUGGGCCUUAAGGUCCAAAACUAUCCCGAGGUCUUCAACGAACUUAUUCGUUUGAUUAAUUAACGUAUUAUUUAAUCCUUGCCAUAAAUAAUUAAACCAUUUAAUUAUUCUUACUCAUCUCCAUUGUUUCUUCAAUCUCCACCUUACACGGUGUACGAUCCAUUAGGUUCCUUUUAGCGAGGUAGUGGGCGAUUAAAACUCUUUCAAAUCGAUUGUGAAUUGAAACUUACUUUCAAUUCUCCCUUUAGUGUUUAUA